Molecule: non-coding RNA, 124 nt
Organism: Triticum aestivum (bread wheat)
Lineage: Eukaryota; Viridiplantae; Streptophyta; Magnoliopsida; Poales; Poaceae
Source: Rfam
AUCCUACUCCCUCCGUCUGGAAAUACUCAUCGGAGGAAUGGAUGUAUCUAGACGUAUUUUAGAUCUAGACACAUCCAUUUUUAUCAAUUUCUCCGACAAUUAUUUUUAGACGGGGGAGUAUAAU